AGAGUUUGAUCAUGGCUCAGGAUGAACGCUAGCGGCAGGCCUAAUACAUGCAAGUCGAGGGGCAGCAUGAUCUUCGGAUUGAUGGCGACCGGCGCACGGGUGCGUAACGCGUAUGCAACCUACCUACCACUGGGGGAUAGCCCGGGGAAACCCGGAUUAAUACCCCAUUGUAUUAUUUGAUGGCAUCUGAGGAUAAUUAAAGAUUUAUCGGUGGUAGAUGGGCAUGCGUCUGAUUAGCUUGUUGGCGGGGUAACGGCCCACCAAGGCAAUGAUCAGUAGGGGGUCUGAGAGGAUGAUCCCCCACACUGGAACUGAGACACGGUCCAGACUCCUACGGGAGGCAGCAGUAGGGAAUAUUGGUCAAUGGGCGAGAGCCUGAACCAGCCAUGCCGCGUGCAGGAUGACGGCCUUCUGGGUUGUAAACUGCUUUUCUACAGGAAGAAAAUGCCCCUGCGGGGGAAAUUGCCGGUAUUGUAGGAAUAAGCACCGGCUAACUCCGUGCCAGCAGCCGCGGUAAUACGGAGGGUGCAAGCGUUGUCCGGAUUUAUUGGGUUUAAAGGGUGCGUAGGCGGAAGAUUAAGUCAGUGGUGAAAGCCCACAGCUCAACUGUGGAACUGCCAUUGAUACUGGUUUUCUUGAAUUCAGUUAAGGUAGGCGGAAUUGAUGGUGUAGCGGUGAAAUGCAUAGAUACCAUCAGGAACACCGAUUGCGAAGGCAGCUUACUGGGCUUGAAUUGACGCUGAGGCACGAAAGCGUGGGGAGCGAACAGGAUUAGAUACCCUAGUAGUCC
This 790-nucleotide ribosomal RNA is filed under the name uncultured bacterium. RNAcentral describes it as "bacterial SSU rRNA". It matches the Rfam family "Bacterial small subunit ribosomal RNA", at positions 8 to 796 of the family's 1533-position model. The record is from RNAcentral.